CAGUUCCUGGUGAUUUCGAACGCCGCGAUCCGAAGGGCAGAUAGAGAAGCCGGCUGCCCGCGCUAACUACAAAAGCAAUCGGGAACUUUGAUUUCUAAAGAGCUGGUUGCGCUGACCUAACUUUUUCUCUAUUCCAAUGGUUUAGAUUAGAAGAGUAUUUUGGCCGCUGAGGAAGGUGGUGUCGCCUUUAUGCCGUUGAGUAUAAUAUGAUUCUCCCUUCAGUCUGGAGAAUUGCCCUCUUCCAAAAUGGCAAACGGGGGAAGGCAGGCAGAGAACAGUCAUAGACGUUGGAAAAGAGGUUUCUUUAACGCUGAUGAAAACAAGGGAGCGGUUUUAUCCAUGUGGCAAGCAAAUUAGGAUUUCCUGAAUGUGUCAGAGUGGCACAUAUUGAUGCAGCAAAGGUGCUCUUUGCACUGCAGAUCCUAGUGUUGUGACUCAAGCUGAGAAAAGGGGGCAGCUGAGCACCAGGCUUCUUGAUCUCUCUCUCUUGGCAAUAGCUGAGAGGCUGUUAGUCAAGACAAGUUUCUAUUCAAAAUUGAAAUAAAUUUUAAACGUUUAUUAACAAAAA
Pantherophis guttatus is the source of this 568-nucleotide long non-coding RNA. RefSeq lists it as uncharacterized. The record is from RefSeq and is a predicted model, not a curated record. Lineage: Eukaryota; Metazoa; Chordata; Lepidosauria; Squamata; Colubridae.